RNAcentral lists this ribosomal RNA (1372 nucleotides) under uncultured bacterium. RNAcentral describes it as "bacterial SSU rRNA". It matches the Rfam family "Bacterial small subunit ribosomal RNA", at positions 28 to 1381 of the family's 1533-position model. The record is from RNAcentral.
GAUAAACGCUGGCGGCGUGCCUAAUACAUGCAAGUCGAGCGAACGGACGAGAAGCUUGCUUCUCUGAUGUUAGCGGCGGACGGGUGAGUAACACGUGGAUAACCUACCUAUAAGACUGGGAUAACUUCGGGAAACCGGAGCUAAUACCGGAUAAUAUUUUGAACCGCAUGGUUCAAAAGUGAAAGACGGUCUUGCUGUCACUUAUAGAUGGAUCCGCGCUGCAUUAGCUAGUUGGUAAGGUAACGGCUUACCAAGGCAACGAUGCAUAGCCGACCUGAGAGGGUGAUCGGCCACACUGGAACUGAGACACGGUCCAGACUCCUACGGGAGGCAGCAGUAGGGAAUCUUCCGCACUGGGCGAAAGCCUGACGGAGCAACGCCGCGUGAGUGAUGAAGGUCUUCGGAUCGUAAAACUCUGUUAUUAGGGAAGAACAUAUGUGUAAGUAACUGUGCACAUCUUGACGGUACCUAAUCGGAAAGCCACGGCCAACUACGUGCCAGCAGCCGCGGUAAUACGUAGGUGGCAAGCGUUAUCCGGAAUUAUUGGGCGUAAAGCGCGCGUAGGCGGUUUUUUAAGUCUGAUGUGAAAGCCCACGGCUCAACCGUGGAGGGUCAUUGGAAACUGGAAAACUUGAGUGCAGAAGAGGAAAGUGGAAUUCCAUGUGUAGCGGUGAAAUGCGCAGAGAUAUGGAGGAACACCAGUGGCGAAGGCGACUUUCUGGUCUGUAACUGACGCUGAUGUGCGAAAGCGUGGGGAUCAAACAGGAUUAGAUACCCUGGUAGUCCACGCCGUAAACGAUGAGUGCUAAGUGUUAGGGGGUUUCCGCCCCUUAGUGCUGCAGCUAACGCAUUAAGCACUCCGCCUGGGGAGUACGACCGCAAGGUUGAAACUCAAAGGAAUUGACGGGGACCCGCACAAGCGGUGGAGCAUGUGGUUUAAUUCGAAGCAACGCGAAGAACCUUACCAAAUCUUGACAUCCUUUGACAACUCUAGAGAUAGAGCCUUCCCCUUCGGGGGACAAAGUGACAGGUGGUGCAUGGUUGUCGUCAGCUCGUGUCGUGAGAUGUUGGGUUAAGUCCCGCAACGAGCGCAACCCUUAAGCUUAGUUGCCAUCAUUAAGUUGGGCACUCUAAGUUGACUGCCGGUGACAAACCGGAGGAAGGUGGGGAUGACGUCAAAUCAUCAUGCCCCUUAUGAUUUGGGCUACACACGUGCUACAAUGGACAAUACAAAGGGCAGCGAAACCGCGAGGUCAAGCAAAUCCCAUAAAGUUGUUCUCAGUUCGGAUUGUAGUCUGCAACUCGACUACAUGAAGCUGGAAUCGCUAGUAAUCGUAGAUCAGCAUGCUACGGUGAAUACGUUCCCGGGUCU